This 509-nucleotide long non-coding RNA is filed under the name Elaeis guineensis (African oil palm). Its description in RNAcentral is "long non-coding RNA (EGUI_LNC060997)". The record is from RNAcentral. Lineage: Eukaryota; Viridiplantae; Streptophyta; Magnoliopsida; Arecales; Arecaceae.
UGGCGGGCAUUGGUCAGCCUAGGGAUAUCCGCUGUCAUGACUGUGCCAGGCCCUAUUGCCUAUUUAAACCCACUCCUUCCCUCCAGGGACUUCACUUCACCUGAGAGUCCAGUUGGCGCCUUUCUUCUAUCUGAGAGUUCUGUCGCCCAUCGACGUCCUUUUCGACCCUGAGCGUUCUUUGCAUCAAUCCCCGCCAUCUCUGCCGGCUCCCCGCCUACGUCGGGCCAAUCUAGGUUGGUCCCGAAACUUCUUUUGUCAUUGUUGUUGUUUCUUCCUCUUCUUGCUUUGUUUGUUUAGCUUUCGAGGGUUAAUUCGCAAUCUUUCUCGAUUUUUUGGGAUUUCCUUCUUUCUUUUCUCUUGUUGCAGGCACGGACGUAGAAGUUGCCCGGGCGGCCCUCACCGUCGACGCCCCUUACGAUGCCGAGCCUUCAGUCCCCCGAGCCCUUUCGAGGAGUUCUCCCACCAGGGCUUUUGCCCCAGAGUUUCGGCUCGAGGGGAUGCUACGGAUC